RNAcentral lists this ribosomal RNA (502 nucleotides) under uncultured bacterium. RNAcentral's name for it is "bacterial SSU rRNA". It matches the Rfam family "Bacterial small subunit ribosomal RNA", at positions 28 to 530 of the family's 1533-position model. The record is from RNAcentral.
GACGAACGCUGGCGGCGUGCCUAACACAUGCAAGUCGAGCGGGGUUGAGGCGAGAGGUAACUCGAGCUUCUACCUAGCGGCGGACGGGUGAGUAACGCGUGGGCAACCUGCCUCAAGGUUUGGGAUAACAGCCCGAAAGGGCUGCUAAUACCGGAUAUGCCUAUGGCCUCGCAUGGGGCUAUGAGCAAAGGGGAAACCCGCCUUGAGAUGGGCCCGCGUCCCAUCAGCUAGUUGGUGAGGUAACAGCUCACCAAGGCGACGACGGGUAGCCGGCCUGAGAGGGUGACCGGCCACACUGGGACUGAGACACGGCCCAGACUCCUACGGGGGGCAGCAGUGGGGGAUCUUGCACAAUGGGCGAAAGCCUGAUGCAGCGACGCCGCGUGAGCGAAGAAGGCCUUCGGGUUGUAAAGCUCUGUCUGGAGGGACGGAACAAAAUGACGGUACCUCCGGAGGAAGCCACGGCUAACUACGUGCCAGCAGCCGCGGUAAAGUCACGUCG